GUAGUUCCUCCCUCUCGUCUUCAUUUUAUUUUGUUUCCUUCUGUCUUCAUUUUUCUCCCAAACCCUAAAUCGCUCUCUCCUCUCUCUGCUGCCUUCAUUUUCCCCAAACCCCUUCCUCGCGCCAUCUUAUUGUCUUAUUGGCUUCGUUAUCAGGUAAUUUUCUUCAUGUAAUUUUCUUAAAGUAGGUUUUUCUUACAGUAUGGCAUUCACAUCUUGAUAGUAAUUUUCUUUGUGUAAUUUGUGGACUGAGCGAGGGUCUUCCCCUGCUUGGGAACGAGGCGUCGAGGCUGCAUUUGUGGGCUGAGCAAGGCAUCGAGGUGUCUUCUUGUUCGUUGAGGCGUCGGAUUGUAACCCUGCUAUUGAUAAAGGUGUGGCUCAUGAGUCUGUUGGAGUAAAACCAACGACCUUGGUUCCAAAAGAAAUCCCUGUUAAAGAUAAACAUUGUCCCCAAAGCAACACUAAAUAAACAUAGGUAUGAUGAGUAGAUGGUGAGGAAAAUCUUUUGACUUGGUUGGUCGACUUAUUUUCACAGAAUAUUUUCUACACCUCUUUUAAUAAAGUUCUGUUGGUCGUGACCACAUGAAGUUUUACAUCAAGAAAUAAUGUCAGGUUGCCUUGGCAACACUCUUGCCGUGAUGAAGAAAUCCUCUAAGUUUCUACCGGUAUGUUAUGUGAGAGCUUGUUGAAUUCUCAGAGAUUUGCCGUGAUUGUUGAAUUAUUGAUGGUUAAUUUGUCGGAUGCUCUAAACUGAGAAAAAAAUUCUCAGAGUCAUUUUAGCGAAAGAAGAUUUGGCACCUGAUGUUGAUUUUGAAGCACUGAUGGAUAUUCUGGGAGUGAUCUAAAGAAUCUUUGUGCACAGCAGUUCACUGCCCAAUACGAGAGAUCUUAGCGAAAGAAAAGAAGGAGAAAAGCUUAGUAGUACCUGAGAACAAACCUUUACCUGGAUUGUGUGGCAGCUCCGACAUUCGGCCUUUGAAGAUUGAUUAUUUUAGAUAUGCACAUGAGCAGGGAUUUGCUAUACCAAAAGAUGUACAAGGAAAAGUUGCAAAAUUUGAUUUUCAUGGACAGCCAGCGGAGCUCAAACAAAAUUAGACAUUGUUUAUUAGUUUCUUUUUUUAGUAAUGUAACGAACAUAGUUUUAGUAUGUUAAUUUAGAAUUGAACAUCUUUAUUUUUAAUAUAUGAAUAAUUAGUUGUAUAAACAUAUUAAUAUGAUGAACAAUGUAGUUUAUUUUAUAUAUAAUAUUCAGUUUUAUUUUAUAUUA
Molecule: long non-coding RNA, 1264 nt
Organism: Vigna angularis (adzuki bean)
Lineage: Eukaryota; Viridiplantae; Streptophyta; Magnoliopsida; Fabales; Fabaceae
Exons: 7
Source: RefSeq, a predicted model, not a curated record